GCUGGGCGCGGUGGCACGUGCCUAUAGUCCCAGCUACUUAGGAGGCUCAGGCGGAAGGCUAGCUGGGGUCCGGGAGUCCUGGGCUGCCGUGUGCUCUGCUGAUCGAUCAGGUGUCUGCACUAAGCUUAGCAUCAAUAGGGUGACCUCCCGGGAGCAGGGAACCACCAGGUUGCCUAACGGGGCGGUGAAGCGGCCCAGGCUGGAAACAGAGCAGGUCAGAAUACACUGUUCUUUCCAUGCUCUUUGUCUGGUCGGGCGUUCUGUCUCUGCAGUGAGAAGUCACCGCUGCGUGUGCCAGUCUUCUUUCCCACUCGU
RNAcentral lists this signal recognition particle RNA (315 nucleotides) under Jaculus jaculus (lesser Egyptian jerboa). RNAcentral's name for it is "Metazoan signal recognition particle RNA (ENSJJAG00000005651.1)". It matches the Rfam family "Metazoan signal recognition particle RNA". Rfam says of the family: The signal recognition particle (SRP) is a universally conserved ribonucleoprotein. It is involved in the co-translational targeting of proteins to membranes. The record is from Rfam by way of RNAcentral. Lineage: Eukaryota; Metazoa; Chordata; Mammalia; Rodentia; Dipodidae.